GCAUAAUCAUUUGUCUAUUAAUUGUGGACUAGAAUGAACGGGUAAACGAAAUAAUUUCUGUUUCAUUAUGUUAUAUAAAAAUUAACCUAUAAGUGAAGAUGCUUAUAUCAAAUUGAAGGACAAGAAGACCCUAUAGAGCUUUAAUUAACCUACUACACGCUAGUAAUAAAUAUUGGUUGGGGCGACCAAGGAUAAAUCAUCCUUAAAUUAAUAGAUUUAUUAAUCAAAUAAGUGAGCUUUUUUAUAAACUAUCAAACAAAGUUACCUUAGGGAUAACAGGCUAAUCUCAUUUUAGAGUUCCUAUCACAAAUGAGGA
This 316-nucleotide ribosomal RNA is filed under the name Achaeta danica. RNAcentral describes it as "partial 16S ribosomal RNA". It matches the Rfam family "Bacterial large subunit ribosomal RNA", at positions 1959 to 2517 of the family's 2925-position model. The record is from RNAcentral. Lineage: Eukaryota; Metazoa; Annelida; Clitellata; Enchytraeida; Enchytraeidae.